This is a long non-coding RNA of Cucumis sativus (cucumber), 886 nucleotides long. RefSeq lists it as uncharacterized. The record is from RefSeq and is a predicted model, not a curated record. Lineage: Eukaryota; Viridiplantae; Streptophyta; Magnoliopsida; Cucurbitales; Cucurbitaceae. The transcript is spliced from 2 exons.
UCUUAGAUCAAUUGGAUGUCGUCUACACAUGAUCUUAUAUGAAUCAAUUGUAUUGCGUGAUUACUGCUUCAGUGGACAAGACAUUUGGUUGAUGGUGAGCCCUGUAAUAUGGUUUUAUAUGGUAGAGUGACAUCAAACAAAUCUAGUGUUAAGACAAUUUAAAAUGCAACAAAUAAUAAUGCCACCAAUAUGUGUGCUAUACGAACCACAAACUACAUAAAAUAGAUCUUCGUGGUAAACAUGUCCAAGGCUGGAGAUGAAUCCAUGCCAACUAUUUAUUGUUAUAGCAAACAUGUCAUGAGAAUUGUGUAAGGGGAGAAGCAGUAGAUGGUCCAUUUGUAUCAGAUGACCUACCUUCUCUGGUACGACUCAAUUAUCGAAAGAUAUAUCCAACCGGAUGAUAGUUAUUACUAUUUCAUGUUUACCAGAACUUGGUUCAAUGUAUGGCCAAUGGGUCGUGAGUGUUGAAGAAAUUAUCAUUCAACAAAUAAGUCGACUUAAUGUUCACAGCACUGAUAAAAGACAUGCUCGUCAUAGCUAGGCGUCAACGACAACAAGCUGAUGAUAUUGUAGAGCAACCAGUUAAUGAGUCGACUCCAACUUCUACAUAACACAUAAAAGAAAUUGUUGCAACCAAUGAGUGGUAUAUAUGAUAUAACAUUGUGUUAUAUACUUAAAAUUUCGAACAAAUGCACAAUUUUGACAAACCCGACUAUCAUUCGGAUAUCAGUUUGUUACGAAAUCAACAAUUAAGUAACAUGAAGAAUGUAAAGAUCGACACACAUAUAUACAUGAUUCGCUAAUAUUGUGUUAGCUACAUCUACGAACAAAAAGAAAAAUAUAUUAUUAGAGAGAAUAUACUUUUAAAACAAUACGACUUUUCGUA